RNAcentral lists this ribosomal RNA (467 nucleotides) under uncultured bacterium. RNAcentral describes it as "partial 16S ribosomal RNA". It matches the Rfam family "Bacterial small subunit ribosomal RNA", at positions 29 to 507 of the family's 1533-position model. The record is from RNAcentral.
ACGAACGCUGGCGGCGUGCUUAACCCAUGCAAGUCGAACGGAAAGGCCCUGCUUUUGUGGGGUGCUCGAGUGGCGAACGGGUGAGUAACACGUGAGUAACCUGCCCUUGACUUUGGGAUAACUUCAGGAAACUGGGGCUAAUACCGGAUAGGAGCUCCUGCUGCAUGGUGGGGGUUGGAAAGUUUCGGCGGUUGGGGAUGGACUCGCGGCUUAUCAGCUUGGUGGUGGGGUAGGGGCUUACCAAGGCUUUGACGGGUAGCCGGCCUGAGAGGGUGACCGGCCACAUUGGGACUGAGAUACGGCCCAGACUCCUACGGGAGGCAGCAGUGGGGAAUAUUGCACAAUGGGCGGAAGCCUGAUGCAGCAACGCCGCGUGCGGGAUGACGGCCUUCGGGUUGUAAACCGCUUUCGCCUGUGACGAAGCGUGAGUGACGGUAAUGGGUAAAGAAGCACCGGCUAACUACGUG